RNAcentral lists this small nuclear RNA (310 nucleotides) under Chinchilla lanigera (long-tailed chinchilla). RNAcentral's name for it is "7SK RNA (ENSCLAG00000021843.1)". It matches the Rfam family "7SK RNA". Rfam says of the family: 7SK was discovered as an abundant small nuclear RNA in the mid-70s but a possible function has only recently been suggested. Two independent studies have found that 7SK RNA binds the CDK9/cyclin T complex (known as elongation factor P-TEFb). The record is from Rfam by way of RNAcentral. Lineage: Eukaryota; Metazoa; Chordata; Mammalia; Rodentia; Chinchillidae.
GGAUGUGAAGGUAAUAUGGCUGCGACAUCUGUCACCCCGCUGAUCACCAGAGUUGAUUCGGCUGAUCGAUUGAUGCAGCUAGGCAGAUGUCCCCGAGACCUCACUGUCACAUGUACAUCCUUCCUGAAGCUGCACACUUGGUCAAAGAGGAAAACCACCCCCAAUGAGGAGUUCCGUUUCCUCCAACAAGGAUAUAUGAGUAGCUGUGCUCCUCUGUCAGGCCCUCCAAACAAGCUCUUAAGGUCAUUACAUAUUUAUUUAUUUAUUUAUUUGUUUAAGGUCCUUACAUAUUUAAAAGUAACAAACUUUU